GAUGAACGCUGGCGGCGUGCCUAAUACAUGCAAGUCGAGCGAACAGACGAGGAGCUUGCCCCUCUGACGUUAGCGGCGGACGGGUGAGUAACACGGGGAGAAACUACCUAUAAGACUGGGAUAACUUCGGGAAACCGGAGCUAAAACCGGAUAUAAUAUUGAAUAGGAUGGUUCAAUAGUGAAAUACGGUUUUGCUGUCACCUAUAGAUGGAUCCGCGCCGCAUUAGCUAGUUGGUAUGGUAACGGCUUAGCAAGGCGACGAUGCGUAGCCGACCUGAGAGGGUGAUCGGACACACUGGCAGUGAGACACGGUCGAGACACCUAGGGGGGGCAGCGGUAGGGAAUCUUACGGGAUGGGGGAGAGCCGGACGGAGCAACGCGGCGUGAGCGCUGAAGGUCUUCGGAUCGUAAAGCUCUGAUAUUAGGGAAGAACUAAUGUGUAAGUAACUAUGCACGUAUUGACGGUACCUAAGCAAAAAGCCACGGCUAACUACGUG
This 497-nucleotide ribosomal RNA is filed under the name uncultured bacterium. Its description in RNAcentral is "partial 16S ribosomal RNA". It matches the Rfam family "Bacterial small subunit ribosomal RNA", at positions 28 to 507 of the family's 1533-position model. The record is from RNAcentral.